RNAcentral lists this ribosomal RNA (958 nucleotides) under Cortinarius sp. 16 MD-2018. RNAcentral describes it as "eukaryotic LSU rRNA". It matches the Rfam family "Eukaryotic large subunit ribosomal RNA", at positions 1 to 940 of the family's 3401-position model. Lineage: Eukaryota; Fungi; Basidiomycota; Agaricomycetes; Agaricales; Cortinariaceae. The record is from RNAcentral.
UGUGACCUCAAAUCAGGUAGGACUACCCGCUGAACUUAAGCAUAUCAAUAAGCGGAGGAAAAGAAACUAACAAGGAUUCCCCUAGUAACUGCGAGUGAAGCGGGAAAAGCUCAAAUUUAAAAUCUGGCGGUCUUUUGGCUGUCCGAGUUGUAAUCUAGAGAAGUGUUAUCCGCGCUGGACCGUGUACAAGUCUCCUGGAAUGGAGCAUCAUAGAGGGUGAGAAUCCCGUCUUUGACAUGGACUGCCAGGGCUUUGUGAUGCGCUCUCAAAGAGUCGAGUUGUUUGGGAAUGCAGCUCAAAAUGGGUGGUAAAUUCCAUCUAAAGCUAAAUAUUGGCGAGAGACCGAUAGCGAACAAGUACCGUGAGGGAAAGAUGAAAAGAACUUUGGAAAGAGAGUUAAACAGUACGUGAAAUUGCUGAAAGGGAAACGCUUGAAGUCAGUCGCGUCGUCCAGGGAUCAACCUUGCUUUUGCCUGGUGCACUUCCUGGUUUGACGGGUCAGCAUCAAUUUUGACCAUUGGAAAAAGGCUUAGGGAAUGUGGCAUCUUCGGAUGUGUUAUAGCCCUGGGUCACAUACAAUGGUUGGGAUUGAGGAACUCAGCACGCCGCAAGGCCGGGUUUUAAACCACGUACGUGCUUAGGAUGCUGGCAAUAUGGCUUUAAUCGACCCGUCUUGAAACACGGACCAAGGAGUCUAACAUGCCUGCGAGUGUUUGGGUGGAAAACCCGAGCGCGUAAUGAAAGUGAAAAGUUGAGAUCCCUGUCGUGGGGAGCAUCGACGCCCGGACCAGACCUUUUGUGACGGUUCCGCGGUAGAGCAUGUAUGUUGGGACCCGAAAGAUGGUGAACUAUGCCUGAAUAGGGUGAAUCCAGAGGAAACUCUGGUGGAGGCUCGUAGCGAUUCUGACGUGCAAAUCGAUCGUCAAAUUUGGGUAUAGGGGCGAAAGACUAAUCGAAC